CAGUCGGUGAAAGAUGCUGUUUUGUGCCUAUUUAACGCAAUAUUAAUUUCAUUUAUUAUAAAAAAUGCAUGAUAUAUUAGUGGUUAGUGUUCUGUUUAUGUCGAUUAUAGUAAAGCAUGUGGUAAGAUAUUUCAAGUGUUUGGAGAGCUUCAGAAUCCUCUAAUCAUUAUAUUGUAACUUUCACCAUAUAAUUACAGCAUGUGCAAUGGUUCAGAAUUCAAACUGUAAAUUUCGAUUCGAAAUUAUAAUAUAAAGUAUAGAACAGGAUAUCGUAUAAUCGUAAAUGAAAACAAAUUUAUAAGAAAAGGUUAUUUAUAAGAAAGGUUAAGAGGAAGUACACAAGAAAUUGUCACAUACUACCAAAAAAUCAAAAAAUUGUACAUGGCAUUUGAUAUUUUACAAUUCCAGGAAAUAAUACGAAUCUUGUUAAUAGUCCAAAUUUAAUUACACAGGAUUAAAUAAUAUUGAUUUCA
Bombus pyrosoma is the source of this 473-nucleotide long non-coding RNA. RefSeq lists it as uncharacterized. Lineage: Eukaryota; Metazoa; Arthropoda; Insecta; Hymenoptera; Apidae. The transcript has 3 exons. The record is from RefSeq and is a predicted model, not a curated record.